CCCCCCCCCCCCCCCCCCCCCCCCCCCCCCCCCCCCCCCCCCCCCCCCCCCCCCCCCCCCCCCCCCCCCCCCCCCCCCCCCCCCCCCAGCCCCGAGCGCCACCGGGGCGGGCCGGGCUCAGAGCCCGUCUGCCGGACACGCUCAGAUGAGUGGACUCAGAACUCGCCAGAGCAGCGGCCAGAGCAGCCCGGGGGCUUGGCUGACCAAGGGAAGAAGCUGGGCUCUGUCACCUUGAGGGUGUGCCCUCAGUAUGAAACGGGACUCUCCAAAGAGACCAGUGUCAAGCUGCACGUCACCGGCCAGACGCCCGCCAGGGAGGUGGUGAAGCUGGUGGUGCUGGAGAUGAACGGCGUCUCGCGGGACGUGCUGGGCUCGGCCGCCGUCCGCUACGGCGAGGAGCAGCUGCAGCACUUCGGGCUGGUGUUCGCUGCCGGCGGGAGCGAGCGCUGGCUCCCCGAUGACUGCUCGCCCCUGUCCCUGCACAGCAGCCAGCCCCAGGGCCGCUUCUACGUCCGCCUCAAGGAGACGUCCCCGCUGGUGCUCCAGUUCGCGCCAGCCACCACCGUAGACAUCGAGACUCAGUUUUUCUGACUGGAGAAGAGGAGGGUGGAGUCCAGAGACCUCAGAGCUCAGGAGGAAUCUCUGCAGGAAUGGAAUUUUUGAAA
This 665-nucleotide long non-coding RNA is filed under the name Ficedula albicollis (Collared flycatcher). RNAcentral describes it as "lncRNA (ENSFALG00000022549.2)". Lineage: Eukaryota; Metazoa; Chordata; Aves; Passeriformes; Muscicapidae. The record is from RNAcentral.